UACGUAGGGGGCAAGCGUUGUCCGGAUUAUUGGGCGUAAAGAGCGUGGUAGGCGGCCAGGUAGGGUCAGCUGUGAAAACUCGAGGCUCAACCUCGAGACGCCGGUUGAAACCAUCUGGCUAGAGUCGGAAGAGGAGAGUGGAAUUCCUGGAUGUAGCGGUGAAAUGCGCAGAUAUCAGGAAGAACACCCGUGGCUAAGGCGGCUCUC
This 207-nucleotide ribosomal RNA is filed under the name uncultured bacterium. Its description in RNAcentral is "partial 16S ribosomal RNA". It matches the Rfam family "Bacterial small subunit ribosomal RNA", at positions 524 to 729 of the family's 1533-position model. The record is from RNAcentral.